Molecule: long non-coding RNA, 1883 nt
Organism: Equus caballus (horse)
Lineage: Eukaryota; Metazoa; Chordata; Mammalia; Perissodactyla; Equidae
Source: Ensembl
CAGAGGAUUAUGUAAAACACUUACUCUGGCCAGAAUGACUCUAUGAGAUUCUGUGGAGACUCUGACCCACCCCACCCAACCCAUGCCACUCGCAGAGGCCUGCAAGGCAGUAGCACAUGAGGUUAACACUGAAAUGGAUGGAAAAGCGCUGGUGCAUUUACUUCCAGCUUCUGCAGUAUCUUGCACAGUAGGAAGUUUUAAUUUUCGUCCAGUGUAGAUGUGCGUCACUGGCACGCAGUGUGAAGAUGGGCAGCUUGGAAGAGUGGAGCAUAAAGCACAGAGGUGUGUUUGCAGUGCCCGGCUGGGACUUCCCGGGCCAGCUCCAGAGGCCUGACUGCUGUGUCUGCGUGGGCCCCCAGGAUGCGUGCAGACAAAGAGAACACCUCUGGAGGACUAAAGUGUCUGUGCCAAAACAGGUCGUCCUCAGAAAGAGCCUGACUAGAGAAGACACAAGAGCACCUUGAGGAACCUUGCAGCUGGGUCCGCCUGCACAAGCUGUGAGGCCGCUGUAGAUGUACACAGACUAUUUCUGGAAACUUCACUGCAAUGACCAGCUUGGGAGACCUGCUGCCUUUAACUCAGCAAGUCCUGGAUUUCACCUGACAAAAGCACCAGCUUUACAACAUUCCAGAUCUUCAGGUUCUGAGUGCCCCACUUGCUUUCUAGUAGUUUCCACAUAAUUGACCCCAUGGCUGCUGUAAGCUACCCACUUAGAAUUUCUAUAUCUUUAUUCAUCCAAGUUAUUUUAGCAUAUUUUAUUGUUCCAAAUUAUGUAGUUUGAAAUUGGUUUUGCCUUGAAUGACUAACUUAUUUCUUGGAAAUAAAUGAUUACAAGCCCCUAAUUCUUUGCGUCUACCUUAGCUAAAGUCAUAUUGAAGCCCUAAGCCGCACAUUUCAAGCCUUGAGAGGACUAGUCGUUCUUGACACAAGUACAUCUGAGAGCGCACAGCACCCGGCCACCGGGACUCUUUGUUUAUGUUCUUCUCAGCUGAUGGCCCUCUGCUCACCCCGCUCACAGUCACAGCCAAAGUUGCCUUUUGCCCUCAUCUCCUGCUCCCCUCUCCCUUACUCCGUCCAGCACACAGGUCUCCGUGCUGUUCCGCAGACAUCCCUCGCUGCCUCGGACACCUUCGUACCAGUGUUCCCUCGGCCUGAACGCUUUCCCUCAGGUGUCCAUGGGAGGGCGCCUUCACCUCCUUCAGGUCUUUGUCCAAAAGUCACCUUCUUAGGGAAUUGUCCUUCCCCCUCUAUGUGAAAAUGAAGCAGCUUCCUGGAACCAACUCUCUCUCCCGCUGCUCUAUUUUUCUCUAUAGUCUUUACCACCACCGGACAUACACUCUAUUUUGUUUAUUGUAUAUUUCUCCCAACUAGAAUACAACCCUUAAGAGGAGAAGAUUUUUAUCUGGUUUGUCACAUCCCCAGUACCUAGGCGAGUGUUUGGCAUGAACUAAUGCACAAUGAAUAUCUUUUAAUGAACGCAUGGACAUUAUAGCCUCUUAUUUGAUUAAGAAUAUAAUUUGAAGUUAUUCCCCCUUCCAUAAUAUUCCUUCAAGUAAAAAUUAAAUGUCUCUAAAAGAAUAACUCAAAAACAACAAAAAAAAUCUCAUUUUCUACAGAUAUAUUUUUUUGAAGAGCAUUUUUUUUCUGGCAAUAAAAGUAAUACUGAUUCAUUGUAAGAAGUUCAAAAAAGUGUGGCCAGUUUAAAUGGCUAGCAAUCCCGCAGAGUUAGGCACCCUUAGCAUUUCAAUGCAUUUCCUUCCAGACUGUUAACCAAGCAUGCACAUAUGUGUGCACACAUAUUUUUAAAUGAAUACAUAAUUGCAUGUCUUGACUAUAUAUAUGUGUUUAAAUUGAGAUUUUACUAUGUUUAAUUUUAUCCUGUA